UCCUGUUGGUUGAUCAGACACCCACUUCCUGCGCAGGCUCAGAGUCAGCCCAGGGAGUACUGGUGCUGGGCUGGGAGAGGGGGCCAAAGCCUGGAGCGAGGAGCCCACCUAAGAUCAUGCAGUUGCUGGGGGGCAGAGCAAACAGAAGCCAGCAGAAGUCAGUGGGGAGGAGGGGGAGGUCUUCUGGUCCAACCUCCACACCAUGCACACAGAAAAGAAGCCAUAAAAACUCAGACCUCCCACAAUUACAGGGACAGGCCAGCCUGCAGACGCUGGACAGACGGGUGACAGGCAGUGGCCAUAAGGUCUCUAUUGCUCAACCUCAGGGACUCUUAUUCAGAGACCCUGGACAUUUCCCCAACAUCCCACUCCUUGUCUUAGUCACCCUCCCCAACACUCCCCUGUAAAAGUCCCUCUUACCCUCUCUCCAGGCCAGCCCCGCUUCCUGCAUUCCCAGAGUCAGGGUCAAGCCCGGGCUUUUGCUGGCCCUCAGCCCAGGAUCCAGCGACCAUACAACCAUGCUUGGUGUGUCCUAGACAGAGCCUGUCACCGGACCCCAGUUCUACUCACCACCCUGGGGUACCCAUCAGUGAGGGACGACAUCGCCUGCUCUGUGCCCCAGCCAGCUAGACACCUGUCCCCUGCCCCCUUCUCCGGACAACUUCUUGAUCCCAAGGCAUUCCUUCAUCUCUGAAAUAGACAUUCCCUGCUUCUUGCCCUUGGUCAGGUUCACCCCCCAUGGUUUCCCCGCAUCCCACCCAUCUUGAUGGGAACCUCCAGCAGUAGCCGGAGACCUCUUUUGGAUGCACAGUUCUUGAUUGAUGUCCUCAGAGGAAAGCCCAGACUCCUCCAUCUGGGGUUGAAGGCCCUUCUUAAUGUUGUGCUGGCUCCUGCCAUGAUCCCGCCAGUUCCAUUGGGUGCCAUUCUCCACACCAAUCAACUUCUGGGUCCCUCCUCAGGCCUCUGUCCCCCAGAUCCCUGCCCAAGGCUCUUUUUCCUCCUCUCUCUGCUCUCACUCCUCAAGGACCACAUCCCUCCAUGAUGUCCCCUAGAUAGUGGCACCGAGCCCUUCCCGUGCCCCCAGACCCCUCAAUGGUACCCCGUGCAGACCUUGACUACGUGCCUGUGACACUGAACACACAGCCCCCUCCCCAGCCUGUGAGCACCUCAGCCCAGAACCAGGUCUAACUGGGUUCAGGAAAAAAAGUAGAAGGAAGGAAGAGGGAAGAGGAGGAAGAAAGUGUGUACUCAAGCACCUCCUCCCCCAUGGUUUCCCCCAGACAGACCCCGUCACUGCCACCUAGGCCCUUGGCUUGCAUGUCUUUGUGGCACAAUUGUAGGUGGCUCAUGUCAACUACUCAUGUUCACACAGGCCCUGGAGCUGAAUGUGGGAGCUGAAGGCCCUUGAGGCUGCACUUGGAUUCACAGAUGGGAAAGCGGAGACUGGCGAGGAGCAGGCACUGCCGAGUGUCACACUGCAGACCAGAGCAUACAAGAUUCAAGACCGAAGCUCAAGUUCCUCUGAAGGGGACUCGAGUCCACUCUCUGAGUCUGCUGCCUCCAUCUAUGAGCAGGGCAGAGGCCUCCUGCUGGGCCUCUUGAUCCCAGAAGCACAUCAUGGGGGCAGCCUUUGUGGCAACCAGGCCAGAAGGAGCUCACUUACCAAGGGGACCCCCAAUCCACAGGCCCAUGAGCAGCAGCAGGGCCUAAGUGUGAUGGUCCCCAUGCCAAGGGUGACAGGGGGUGAGAGCAGAGAGGAGGUCAUUUAGAGGCUGCCUUUGAACUCACCAUCCUCCUGCAUAAGCGCUGGAGUCCCCGGGAUCACAGGCCUGCACCACCGCACCCAGCUCUAUCCUUGGAUCUUUAAAGCUCGCUGUAGCUCGGCUGGGCAGAGGUUGCCCUGGGAUUUGACAACCCCUGCUCUCAGCCUCCUCAGCUCUGCCACUCACCCACUUGGGAACUCGUGCAAGAGGUCUAACAUCCUGGUACCUCAGUUUCCUUCAGUUUCCUUCUCUGCGAAACGGAAGUAACGUCUAUGUUUGUUAGAUGGUAGGGUUGCUGGGAGAAUUAAAUCGUGCAGAAGAG
This is a non-coding RNA of Ictidomys tridecemlineatus (thirteen-lined ground squirrel), 2085 nucleotides long. Lineage: Eukaryota; Metazoa; Chordata; Mammalia; Rodentia; Sciuridae. The record is from RefSeq and is a predicted model, not a curated record.